UAUACAAUACUGGUUCAGUCACUUCUGUUAACAUUACAGUUAUUAAUAAAAGCAUAUCAUAUUGUCUUAUGCUUAUGCUAACAAUCUUCAAAGGUAUACCUAAGAACCAAAGUUUAGCUAAUGUUAGCUAGUUACCAUGAGGGGACAAUUUAACUAGCUGAGAUAAUAACACUUACUAGCUAGAGCAGGUUGAUGUUGGUCUACCUAGCAACUUCAUAAACCUAACAUUAACUUAUGUUAAUUGUUCUUGAAACUUUCAUGCCAUUAAAUCCCCUUUUUACUGAAGAAAAGCUAUGAUAUGACAGAAAACCACAAAUUAGUAUACUGUAACAAACUUGUACUGCAUGCUUGUGCUAAUCACAUCAUGCAGCUUUUAAGGACCGUGUUACAGUACAAACUCAUAGGAUUAAUAUUAUGUUUAUGAAUUUAUUCCUUCUGUAUUUCUACUAAUACUCUCUCCAUCUAUAUCCUGUACUUGUAUUUGUAAAAAUAAUUAUCAAUACUCUUAUAGAGGUGUCAAAACUACCUCUGCUAGCUUAUGCAAGCAUUUACACAGAACUUUCCAAAAAAGAAAGAGACCCAAUCUUACAGAAGAUAAAAUAGAAAAAAGUAGACAGAAUGAAAAUAACAAUGUUUGUGUUUAUGCUAAUUAUAUGGUAAUACUAACCAAGCAGACCUGCUUACAUAAACUAAGCUAACAAAAAUACACGUUAUUUUUAGCUUUCUGAAUUUGAAUGUUUUUAUGUUAGACUUCCAGCUACACUGUUAUCCCUGAAAUUGUUUUAAUUCAAACUACUUAGGUACAAUAAACAUAAACUCUAAUUGUUUGCACAAUUACUCCAUGUUUUUAGUUUGUUGUACGAUUUGCAUGACAAUUUUCAUUCUAUUGCAUUGUUUAAAUUGAAUGUACUUAUUUUAGUCUGUUGUCAAUGCAACGCAAUACAAGGAAGAUGUUGAUUGGCUCUUUGAACUGACGUCAGACAAGGAAGCAGCGGGCAUUUUCAUCAACGCUUGCUGAUUCAACUUCAAAGCAAUGCUCAAGAUGAUCUGGAAAUGCUUCUGAUGUUGGAGACUCGUACCAACAUGUGCCAGUUGGAAUCCUCAGCUUAGAAAAAGAAAAUGAACCCCUGUCCCUCCGUCUCCACCCAUCCUCGGUGGGAAUCAUCUUGGAGGGGAAUGUUGUAAUGGACAAUUUAGACAACAUACCCCAGGCCAUGUGUCUUCUUUUUGGUUUAACUUAUGCACUGCACCUAGACUACCCAAAGUGCAUGGGCAACACCUUUCUUUUCAUUCAGCAAGUUUUGCUAGGUUUAGGCAAGAAGGAGUUGAAGGGCAAGAUUCUGGCUGUUACAAAUCAGCUAACCAUGUAAACAGGUACGGUAAAUUCAUGUUUCUUCUGGUUCUCUUUCAGAAUCAUUAGAUAAAAAAACGUUCCCUUUCCUGUCGUUGAGCUAUGCCUUAGGGUUGGACAAAUGUUCAUGUUCCUUAUUAAUAUAGUAUAACAACACUGUGCUUGUUAAAUAUUUGGAAAAGUUUUAAAAUACUGUUUAAAGAUUUAAAAUUGGUUUAUUGGUACUUAAGGUAUUUCAUAGUUUUUGUCAGUCU
Tachysurus fulvidraco (yellow catfish) is the source of this 1605-nucleotide long non-coding RNA. RefSeq lists it as uncharacterized. The transcript has 3 exons. NCBI's taxonomy places the organism in Eukaryota, Metazoa, Chordata, Actinopteri, Siluriformes, Bagridae. The record is from RefSeq and is a predicted model, not a curated record.